UUUUGAAGAGUAAAUUCUAUGUUUCGAAGAGUAAAUUCUAAGAUUUGAAGAGAAAAUACUCUUCGAAACAUAGAAUUUACUCUUCAAAA
Paramuricea clavata is the source of this 89-nucleotide non-coding RNA. The record is from the annotation of a GenBank genome assembly. Lineage: Eukaryota; Metazoa; Cnidaria; Anthozoa; Malacalcyonacea; Plexauridae.